CCCUUAGAUGUUCUGGGCCGCACGCGCGCUACACUGAUGCAUUCAACGAGUCUAAAACCUGCUCUGAUAGGGGUGGGUAAUCUUUUGAAUGUGCAUCGUGAUUGGGAUAGAUGAUUGCAAUUUUUCAUCUUCAACGAGGAAUGCCUAGUAAACGCAAGUCAUCAGCUUGCAUUGAUUACGUCCCGGCCCUUUGUACACACCGCCCGUCGCUCCUACCGAUUGAAUGAUCCGAUGAAUAUCAUGGAUUGAGGAUGCAAGUAGGUUCGCCUAUCUUCAUCUUCGAGAAGUGAAGUAAAUCUUAUCAUUUAGAGGAAGGAGAAGUCGUAACA
This 329-nucleotide ribosomal RNA is filed under the name uncultured eukaryote. RNAcentral's name for it is "partial 18S ribosomal RNA". It matches the Rfam family "Eukaryotic small subunit ribosomal RNA", at positions 1470 to 1796 of the family's 1831-position model. The record is from RNAcentral.